This 1315-nucleotide ribosomal RNA is filed under the name uncultured bacterium. RNAcentral's name for it is "bacterial SSU rRNA". It matches the Rfam family "Bacterial small subunit ribosomal RNA", at positions 28 to 1381 of the family's 1533-position model. The record is from RNAcentral.
AACGUACGCUGGCGGCACGCCUAACACAUGCAAGUCGAACGAAGUAGCAAUACUUAGUGGCAGACGGGUGAGUAACAUGUAGGUAUCUGCCCUUUGGCCUGGAAUAACACGAGGAAACUUAUGCUAAUACCGGAUAAGUCUUUACGGAGAAAGCUUUAUGCACCAUUGGAUGAGCCUGCACUUGAUUAGUUUGUUGGUGGGGUAAUGGCCUACCAAGACUGUGAUCAAUAGCUGAUUUGAGAGGAUGAUCAGCCACAUUGGGACUGAGACACGGCCCAAACUCCUACGGGAGGCAGCAGUGGGGAAUCUUGCACAAUGGAGGAAACUCUGAUGCAGCGAUGCCGCGUGAGUGAAGAAGGCCUUUGGGUUGUAAAGCUCUUUCGUCGGGGAAGAAAAUGACUGUACCCGAAUAAGAAGGUCCGGCUAACUUCGUGCCAGCAGCCGCGGUAAUACGAAGGGACCUAGCGUAGUUCGGAAUUACUGGGCUUAAAGAGUUCGUAGGUGGUUGAAAAAGUUAGUGGUGAAAUCCCAGAGCUUAACUCUGGAACUGCCAUUAAAACUUUUCAGCUAGAGUAUGAUAGAGGAAAGCAGAAUUUCUAGUGUAGAGGUGAAAUUCGUAGAUAUUAGAAAGAAUACCAAUUGCGAAGGCAGCUUUCUGGAUCAUUACUGACACUGAGGAACGAAAGCAUGGGUAGCGAAGAGGAUUAGAUACCCUCGUAGUCCAUGCCGUAAACGAUGUGUGUUAGACGUUGGAAAUUUAUUUUCAGUGUCGCAGGGAAACCGAUAAACACACCGCCUGGGGAGUACGACCGCAAGGUUAAAACUCAAAAUGAAUUGACGGGGACCCGCACAAGUAGUGGAGCAUGUGGUUUAAUUCGAAGAUACGCGCAGAACCUUACCAACACUUGACAUGUUCGUCGCGACUCUAAGAGAUUAGAGUUUUCGGUUCGGCCGGACGAAACACAGGUGCUGCAUGGCUGUCGUCAGCUCGUGUCGUGAGAUGUUGGGUUAAGUCCCGCAACGAGCGCAACCCUCACUUUUAGUUGCCAUCAUUAAGUUGGGCACUCUGAAAGAACUGCCAGUGAUAAGCUGGAGGAAGGUGGGGAUGACGUCAAGUCCUCAUGGCCCUUACGUGUUGGGCUACACACGUGCUACAAUGGUAUCUACAACAGGAAAGCGAGACUGCGAAAGUUAAGCAAAUUCCCCUAAAAGGAUACCUCAGUUUCGGAUUGCGCUCUGCAACUCGGAGUGCGUGAAGGCUGGAAUUACUGGUAAUCGUGGAUCAGCGUGCCACGGUGAAUGCGUUCCCGGGUCU